AGCAGAACCAGACCUGAGGUUUUAAUAACAUCCAGUCAUUUUUAAGCAAAACAACAACAAAAGUUAAGAUUUGACCGUUUUAAAUGAACAGAACUAGCAGCCACCAGCCUAGGUUUUUAAGAUAUUAUUGUUUCAAUAAAGUUAUGUCAAAUUGUGUAGGAAAUAAUUUGUCUUUGGUUUUUUAAUACUGGGGGGGAAAAGCACUUUAUGUUGACUUUCUGUUGUCGUUGUUGCAAUGCUGGAGUAGGAUAGCAGAGUGUAACAAUCAAGCACUUUAACCAAGCACUAUUUUAAUUUGUGCCUCCUGUCGUGACCGUGAUUUGUUACACACCCGUAGCAAGUCACAACCUGUCCUGUGAUAACUGUGAUGGUAUUAUUUUAUGUUGUAUCUGUUUCUACUGUAAAACUCGACUGUAAAUAACUCUGUUGAUAAGCAUUUCCUAACCUAUUUCUAAGUACCUGCCGGGGCGUGUAACUAUUUGCAUGCAACAGGUCUUGGAAUGUGCUAAUAAACGGGACUCUAGAGGAUGCACACGCUGGAGGAAGAUCAUACGCCACUCGAGUCCGCUACAUUUUGUUCCUUUCUACUGUAUAAAAAAAAAAGAAAAAAAAAACAACAAAAAAAAAAAGCUGUUGGUUAGUCCUGAAUGUAAAUGUCUGUCCGUCCAAGCUGUACAGUACUCUGUCUGUAAUCAGUAAUAGUGAAUGCAGCAUGUACGGACAAAAGCAAUAAGCACAUAUAUGUUGUAGGAGCUAUUCUGGGGUAUGACGAUAGCUUUGUUAGGUCUCUCCUCGGCACAAUACUGUACACACAUUGGGAUUAACUCAGCGGUUGUUCAGCCGAUCCCGCGUGGUGGGACACAGCCCAUGGAGGUACUUCCUUGCAAGUCGUACUUGCUUCCUCGAAAGGCAAAACCCUGGGUAAGGCACGAGCAAGAACUGAGCUACAACCUCACGAAUUA
This is a long non-coding RNA of Nothoprocta perdicaria, 962 nucleotides long. RefSeq lists it as uncharacterized. The record is from RefSeq and is a predicted model, not a curated record. The transcript has 2 exons. Lineage: Eukaryota; Metazoa; Chordata; Aves; Tinamiformes; Tinamidae.